This 571-nucleotide ribosomal RNA is filed under the name uncultured bacterium. RNAcentral describes it as "bacterial SSU rRNA". It matches the Rfam family "Bacterial small subunit ribosomal RNA", at positions 9 to 570 of the family's 1533-position model. The record is from RNAcentral.
GAGUUUGAUCCUGGCUCAGAACGAACGCUGGCGGCGCGUUUUAAGCAUGCAAGUCGAACGGUAGCAGGACUUCGGUUCUGUGAGAGUGGCGAACGGGUGAGUAACACGUAGGUGAUCUACCGCGAGGUUGGGGAUAGCUCAUGGAAACAUGGGGUAAUACCGAAUGAGCUUUCGUGACUAUGGUUAUGAAAGGAAAGGGGCUUUGGCCUCGCCUUGUGAUGAGCCUGCGGCUGAUUAGGUAGUUGGUGGGGUAACGGCCUACCAAGCCGACGAUCAGUAGCCGGCCUGAGAGGGUGACCGGCCACACUGGGACUGAGAUACGGCCCAGACUCCUACGGGAGGCAGCAGCUAAGAAUCUUCCGCAAUGGACGAAAGUCUGACGGAGCGACGCCGCGUGGGCGAAGAAGGCCGUGAGGUUGUAAAGCCCUUUUCUACUUGAGGAAUAAGUCCCAAAGGGAAUGCUGGGAUGAUGACGGUAGGGUAGGAAUAAGCCCCGGCUAAUUACGUGCCAGCAGCCGCGGUAACACGUAUGGGGCGAGCGUUGUUCGGAAUUAUUGGGCGUAAAGGGCGC